RNAcentral lists this transfer-messenger RNA (357 nucleotides) under Elusimicrobia. RNAcentral's name for it is "GWA2-66-18 sp013044195 Standard tmRNA". It matches the Rfam family "transfer-messenger RNA". From Rfam's summary of the family: Bacterial tmRNA, also known as 10Sa RNA or SsrA, is named for its dual tRNA and mRNA-like properties. The record is from RNAcentral. RNAcentral also lists the same sequence under 1 other name. Lineage: Bacteria; Pseudomonadati; Elusimicrobiota.
GGGGGUGAAUUAGCUUCGACAGACGUCGUUGAGCCGAAAGUCGCAGGCACGGGUUGGUCAGGACCCGUUCAAAACCGGACCAAACCACAAAUGCCAACACGCAGUUGGCCUGGGCCACUGCCUAACCCGCAGUGAGCACACGCCGGUCCUCGACUUCCGCUAGAGGGUCGCCGGCGUCAAGAGCGGGAUGCGGUCCUUCCCCGUGGUACCGUGGGCGGGGGGCCUAAGACCGAACGGGACUAGUCCGGGAGUGCUCGCCUAUCAGUUUCUUCCGGGCGAAAUUGAAGAUGGGCUAAGCCUGUAGUGGCCUCGGUCGGCGUCGUUUGGACGCGGGUGCAACUCCCGCCACCUCCACCA